RNAcentral lists this ribosomal RNA (2853 nucleotides) under candidate division WWE3 bacterium CG22_combo_CG10-13_8_21_14_all_39_12. RNAcentral's name for it is "bacterial LSU rRNA". It matches the Rfam family "Bacterial large subunit ribosomal RNA". The record is from RNAcentral. Lineage: Bacteria; candidate division WWE3.
UAAAAAACACGUAAGGGCGUACAGUGAAUGCCUUGGCGCAAUGUACCGAUGAAGGACGUGGGAGCCUGCGAAAUGCCUCGGGGAGCUGGCAAACGAGCUUUGAUCCGAGGGUGUCCGAAUGGGAAAACCCACAUAGGUAACCCCUAUGUACUGUGCACUGAAAGUCCGUUUAUUCGGACCAUAGGUGGGCAGUGGGAACCCAGUGAACUGAACCAUCUUAGUAACUGGAGGAAAAGAAAAAAAGCCGUCUUUAAGACGGAGCAUUCCCUGAGUAGCGGUGAGCGAAAAGGGAACAGCCCGUGGAUGAAAAACGAAUAUAUUAUUAGCUGAACUACCUGGAAUCGGUAGGCCAUAGAAAGCAAAUGCCUUGUAAGCGAAAAUAAUAUAUGAUUUCCACUUUAUGAGUAGCAGCGGACACGUGAAAUCUGCUGUGAACUAAUUCUUAGGAAUUUAAGGGGGACCUCCCCCUAAGGCUAAAUAUAUAUUGCGACCGAUAGUGAACUAGUACCGUGAGGGAAAGGUGAAAAGUACCCCGGUGAGGGGAGUGAAAUAGUCCUUGAAACUGUACGUCUACAAGCAGUCGACGUGGUUAAUUUAUUAACCACUACGGCGUGUCUUUUGGAGCAUAAGCCGGCGAGUAACUCGCUGCCUGCUAGUCUAAGCCAUUAAGUGGCGGAGGCGUAGGGAAACCGAGUGGUCUUAAUAGGGCCCUUAGCAGGUGGUGGUUAGCCCGAAACCGAGUGAGCUAUCCAUGUCCAGGGUGAAGGGAGGGUAAAACCUUCUGGAGGCCCGAACCAGUGUACGUUGAAAAGUGCUUGGAUGAGGUGUGGAUAGAGGUGAAAUGCCAAACGGACUCGGAAAUAGCUGGUUCUCCUCGAAAUGGCUUUAAGGCCAGCGUCUGUGGAUUUUAUGGUUGGGGUAGAGCUACUGGAUGGAUGUUGGUGGGCAACUGCUUACGUCCAACCAAACUCCGAAUACAACCAUCUUCAAGCAGACAAGUUAGUGUACGAGGGCUAAGCUUCGUGCACGAAAGGGAAACAGCCCAGAUCGAACGUUAAGGUCCUUAAGUCUUAUCUUAGUGGGAAAGGAAGUCGUGUCACUUAGACAACCAGGAGGUUGGCUUAGAAGCAGCCAUCCUUUAAAAAGUGCGUAAUAGCUUACUGGUCAACUACGUGAUGUGGCGCCGAAAAUAUAACGGGGCUCAAGAUAAGCACCGAAGCGACGAAUUGGAUUUGUACUUGAUACAAACUCCAGUGGUAGAGGAGCGUUCUAUAUGCAUUGAAGCCAAACGCGCGAGCGAUGGUGGAGCGUAUAGAAGUGAGAAUGCCGGCAUGAGUAACGCAAAUCAGUCGAGAUUACUGAUCACCGAAUACCCGAGGUUUCCGCAGCACUGCACAUCAACUGCGGGUUAGGCGGUCCUAAGGCGAGGCCGUAAUUGGCGUAGUCGAUGGACAGACGGUUAAUAUUCCGUCCCUUCUAUAGAUGUUCCCAUCAGAGACUGAGAACUUUUGUUCUUACGAGAAAAUCUGAUGAUUAAUAGUCUAUAGGAUCCGUACCGUAAACCGACACAGGUGGGUGGGGAGAGUAUCCUCAGGUGAUCGAGAUAACCUUCGCUAAGGAAUUCGGCAAAUUGCUGUCGUAACUUAGGGAGAAGGCAGCCCCUUCGUAUGCUUGCAUAUGUUGGGGGGCACAAACAAGGCUCAAACGACUGUUUAACAAAAACACAGCUCCCUGCUAACUCGAAAGAGGAUGUAUAGGGGGUGACGCCUGCCCAAUGCUGGAAGGUUAAAGAAGUUGGUUAGUUUCCUCGGAAACAAAGCUGGCGACUGAAGCCCCAGUGAAUGGCAGCAGUAACUAUAACUGUUCUAAGGUACCGAAGUUCCUUGUCGGGUAAUUUCCGACCUGCAGGAAAGGCGUAACGAGUUGAGCACUGUCUUCAGCGAAGGGCUCGGUGAAAUUGUAAUGGCCGUGAAGAUACGGUCUACCUACACCAGGACAAAAAGACCCCGUGGAGCUUUACUAUAGCUUGGCAUUGAUUUAAGAAUGUUUCUGUGUAGCGUAGCGAGGAGACUUUGAAGCGUAGGCGUCAGCUUACGUGGAGUCGCCAAUGAAACACUCGCCUUUAAUAUUUUUAAAUCUUACCUUGAGCCGUGAAUCCGGUUCGGGGACAGUGUCUGGUAGGUAGUUUGUCUGGGGCGGAUGCCUGGCAAAAAGUAACCCAGGUGCCCAAAGGUUCUCUUAGUCCGGAUGGAAAUCGGACCACAAGUGUAAAGGCAAAAGAGAGCUUGACUGCAAGGCUGACAAGCCGAGCAGCAGCGAAAGCUGGGCUUAGUGAUCCUGCUUAACUUAGAGGUAAGGAAGCAGCUUAUCGGAUUAAAGUUACCCCGGGGAUAACAGAGUGGUCGCGCCCAAUAGCCCGUAUUGCCGGCGCGGUUCGCUACCUCGAUGUCGGCUCAUNNNNNNNNNNNNNNNNNNNNNNNNNNNNNNNNNNNNNNNNNNNNNNNNNCUGUUCGCCCAUUAAAGCGGUACGCGAGCUGGGUUCAAACCGUCGUGAGACAGGUUGGUCUCUAUCCGGUGUAGGCGUGUAAUGAUUUGAGAGGAUAUUCCGUUAGUACGAGAGGACCGCGGAGUGCGAAUCUCUGGUGUAUCAGUUGUUUGUCGAGUUUGCUUGCAAACUCGGAGGGCAUAGCUGAGUAGCUACAUUCGUUUAGGAUAAGCGCUGAAAGCAUAUAAGCGCGAAGCCGACCUCAAGAUUAAAUCAAGGCCCCUGGGAGAAUACCAGGUUGAUAGGCUGCAAGUGUACGCGUAGCAAUACGUUUAGCUGAGCAGUACUAAUAAGCCGUUAGUAUUUUA